Molecule: long non-coding RNA, 957 nt
Organism: Drosophila obscura
Lineage: Eukaryota; Metazoa; Arthropoda; Insecta; Diptera; Drosophilidae
Exons: 3
Source: RefSeq, a predicted model, not a curated record
GUUUUCUUUUGCGCAAAUUAUAAUAAAAAGUGUUUAGGAGAUGUGAAUAUACUCAAUUAUUAUGCAUAUUUAUUGGUGUUGUGGCUAUGAAGUGUUUUUUAUUGUUUAUUCCAAUGCUGCUGCACGUGGAAAUUGUGAAGGCAGGCCAGGCACAUGUUGCUGUAUGUAAUAGGCUGUGUACAUACAACCUGUACGCAUUGAAGUUGAUUUUCUUCAUCUUUGGCUCUUGUGGCACUUGAUAUAUGGUCAUUAUUACAUUUGUCACACACUCCCGCACAUACAGAGUCUGUGCAUCAUCGGGACUACGACUGCUGCCACCCCCCGAUCAAAGUGGAAUUGGAUUCCAUCUGGCAGAGGCGAAUCAUAAUUGAAGAUUCAACCCAAUCCAAUCCGUACCAGGGGGCAAAGGUGGACACACCAAAGGCCGCCGCCUUCCGUACGACUGGCAAUAAAAUAAAUGCCCAUUUACUGAUGAGUCAUCAGCAUAAUUUUUACGAUUUGCCCCAUUCGAUGAAUAAACAAAUAAAGCAAUGGACACGGCACGCUGGACCCCGUGAAACCCUCUGGAUAUCAUUGGGACUCUCAGUUUGAGCGUGUCACGAAAACAUUUGGCAUGCAUUGACUUUUUAUGAGAGAGGAGAGAAUCGAAAAGCCACAUGCGGGAGAGUGGCUGCGAGAGGGGCACUGGGAUAUCCACAAAUAAUGCAAAAUCAUUUAGUGGAACUCCUAGGAAAGGAACUCAACCAAUCUACAGAUGCUCCUCGCAUUCCCCUGCCAGGCCCUGCCGCCUCAAAGUCAUAAAAUCCCCGACACCGAAUGAAAUUCACAUCAAGACGCAGCAAGUUGGCACAAUUUCACUUUGCCGCUGAAGCAACUUGAAAACACGACCAAAAUGAGCACCGAAUCGUAGUGGGAGUCGGUCGUUUGCCAGGCCAGGCCAGGCCAGGACUCUCGGCA